This 239-nucleotide ribosomal RNA is filed under the name Vibrio parahaemolyticus. RNAcentral describes it as "partial 23S ribosomal RNA". It matches the Rfam family "Bacterial large subunit ribosomal RNA", at positions 1 to 235 of the family's 2925-position model. The record is from RNAcentral. Lineage: Bacteria; Pseudomonadati; Pseudomonadota; Gammaproteobacteria; Vibrionales; Vibrionaceae.
GUUGUAUGGUUAAGUGACUAAGCGUACACGGUGGAUGCCUUGGCAGUCAGAGGCGAUGAAGGACGUAUUAACUUGCGAUAAGCCCAGAUUAGGCAGUAAAAGCCACUUGAGUCUGGGAUUUCCGAAUGGGGAAACCCACUUACAUAAGUAAGUAUCAUUAACUGAAUACAUAGGUUAAUGAAGCGAACCGGGGGAACUGAAACAUCUAAGUACCCCGAGGAAAAGAAAUCAACCGAGAU